RNAcentral lists this transfer-messenger RNA (447 nucleotides) under Eubacteriales bacterium. It matches the Rfam family "transfer-messenger RNA". Rfam says of the family: Bacterial tmRNA, also known as 10Sa RNA or SsrA, is named for its dual tRNA and mRNA-like properties. The record is from RNAcentral. Lineage: Bacteria; Bacillati; Bacillota; Clostridia; Eubacteriales.
GGGGGCGUACAUGGUUUCGACGGGGAUCAUGGGGUUCUGAGAAGCGAGCGGCGGAGCUUGACCGCCAUAAAACAGGCAAAAAAAUAACUGCGAAUAAAAACGUAGUUCUCGCGGCCGCUUGACGGCUGCGUGUCGGAACUGAGCUUCCUGCGGCGCAGCAAAGCGCGUGAGGUGGCGGGCCGCAAGGCCCUCAGCCCGGCCUGACCGGGUCGCCGACGGCGGAUCGCAAGAUCCAGGCGCGGCGCCUUCCACGUGCCUACCGGCAUCAUUAAAUGCAGGGAACCAGCUUGCCAAAGCUUUGAGGCAGGUGGGAUUUUAUGAAGCUACCAAAACCGGUAUCCUGUCUGUAGGAGCCCGGCAGAGGGAAUGUUAAAAUACAGACUGCGCUCGGAGAUGCUCAGGGUUCCGGGUUUUCGGACAGGGGUUCGACUCCCCUCGCCUCCACCA